GCCGCGGUGACGGAAUUGGCAUACGUGUCAGGCUUAGAACCUGAUUCCCGCAAGGGAUUGAGAGUUCAAAUCUCUCCCGCGGCA
This 84-nucleotide transfer RNA is filed under the name Deltaproteobacteria bacterium RIFCSPLOWO2_02_FULL_46_8. RNAcentral describes it as "tRNA-Leu". It matches the Rfam family "tRNA". Rfam says of the family: Transfer RNA (tRNA) molecules are approximately 80 nucleotides in length. Their secondary structure includes four short double-helical elements and three loops (D, anti-codon, and T loops). The record is from RNAcentral. Lineage: Bacteria; Deltaproteobacteria.